Molecule: long non-coding RNA, 357 nt
Organism: Amphimedon queenslandica
Lineage: Eukaryota; Metazoa; Porifera; Demospongiae; Haplosclerida; Niphatidae
Exons: 3
Source: RefSeq, a predicted model, not a curated record
GUAUUGAAUCCACUACUUCAAUAAAUGUAAUAUCAUCAACCAGUAAUGCCAAGAGUAUAUCUACUAUUAUACCUACAACAUCAACUUGGCAUAGUUCAUCAAGAAUAAUACCAUCAUACAGUAUUACAACAUCUUUGAUAACAGUGACUAGUUCAAUGCCAGUUGAUGAUGGCACUGACAGUACAGAUACAGCAGUGUCUAUUAAUGUUGGAAUAACUGUAGCACUUGUGAUCUCUGGACUGAUCAAUAUCAUAUUCAUAAUAUUAGCAGUUUCUGUUCUUCUUUAUUUGAAGACAUCUAAUAAAUCAUUGACUAAUAACAGGUCACCUACUGAGGCCAGUAAUAUGGUGUAUGAUA